UACGGGGGGGGCAAGCGUUGUUCGGAAUUACUGGGCGUAAAGCGCACGUAGGCGGAUUGUUAAGUCGGGGGUGAAAUCCUGGAGCUCAACUCCAGAACUGCCUUCGAUACUGGCGAUCUCGAGUUCGGGAGAGGUGAGUGGAACUGCGAGUGUAGAGGUGAAAUUCGUAGAUAUUCGCAAGAACACCAGUGGCGAAGGCGGCUCACUGGCCCGAUACUGACGCUGAGGUGCGAAAGCGUGGGGAGCAAACAGG
This 253-nucleotide ribosomal RNA is filed under the name uncultured bacterium. RNAcentral describes it as "partial 16S ribosomal RNA". It matches the Rfam family "Bacterial small subunit ribosomal RNA", at positions 524 to 776 of the family's 1533-position model. The record is from RNAcentral.